AAAAAAGAGUGUGGAUGCCCCUCCCUUGUUGCCGUGAGUUGAGGAAAAAGAAAGGAGAAAAAUUUUGUUGUUCAUCCUUUCUCAUUUUGUUACAAUUGCCAUGACUUGAGAAGAAGAAAAAAAAAGUGUCCAUUCUCUCAUUUUUCUUUGCAUGGCCGAAUGUACUAAGAAGAAAGGGGGGGAAGCUUGAGAAAAUCAGCCAUGGGAGCUUACUAGACUAAGGUGUUUUGAUACAAGAAGCUCAAGAAGCUAGAGGGGGAGAAUCAAGCAAAA
Long non-coding RNA from Gossypium arboreum, 273 nucleotides. RefSeq lists it as uncharacterized. Lineage: Eukaryota; Viridiplantae; Streptophyta; Magnoliopsida; Malvales; Malvaceae. The record is from RefSeq and is a predicted model, not a curated record. The transcript has 2 exons.